UACGGAGGGUGCAAGCGUUGUUCGGAAUCACUGGGCGUAAAGGGCGUGUAGGCGGUCCGCUAAGUCUGAUGUGAAAGCCCGGGGCUCACCCCCGGAAGGGCAUUGGAAACUGGCGGACUCGAGUCCCGGAGAGGAAGGUGGAAUUCCUGGUGAAGCGGUGAAAUGCGUAGAUAUCUGGAGGAACACCGGUGGCGAAGGCGGCAUCCUGGACCAAUAUUGACGCUGAGGAGCGAAAGCCAGGGGAGCAAACGGG
Molecule: ribosomal RNA, 253 nt
Filed under: uncultured bacterium
Lineage: Bacteria
Description: partial 16S ribosomal RNA
Rfam family: Bacterial small subunit ribosomal RNA
Source: RNAcentral